AAGUUUACAAAGGUUUUUGAAGGGUUUACAAAAGUUUUUAAAGGUGUUACAAGUUCUUUAAAAUGGUUUUUAAGGAUUUACAAGGGUUUUUAAACGGUUUUAGAAGUUUACAAAAGUUUUUAUUAAAUGAUUUAUCACGGUUAUANNNNNNNNNNAUGAUUUAUCACGGUUAUAAGGGGUUUAAAGGGAUUUACAAGUGUUUA
This 203-nucleotide long non-coding RNA is filed under the name Capsella grandiflora. RNAcentral's name for it is "long non-coding RNA (CGRA_LNC000128)". The record is from RNAcentral. Lineage: Eukaryota; Viridiplantae; Streptophyta; Magnoliopsida; Brassicales; Brassicaceae.